UACGAAGGGGGGCUAGCGUUGCUCGGAAUCACUGGGCGUAAAGGGCGCGUAGGCGGCGUUUUUAAGUCGGGGGGUGAAAGCCUGUGGCUCAACCACAGAAUGGCCUUCGAUACUGGGACGCUUGAGUAUGGUAGAGGUUGGUGGAACUGCGAGUGUAGAGGUGAAAUUCGUAGAUAUUCGCAAGAACACCGGUGGCGAAGGCGGCCAACUGGACCAUUACUGACGCUGAGGCGCGAAAGCGUGGGGAGCAAACAGG
This 256-nucleotide ribosomal RNA is filed under the name uncultured bacterium. Its description in RNAcentral is "partial 16S ribosomal RNA". It matches the Rfam family "Bacterial small subunit ribosomal RNA", at positions 524 to 776 of the family's 1533-position model. The record is from RNAcentral.